UGAGGGAAUAUUGGGUCAAUGGGGCGAAAGCCUGAACCAGCCAUGCCGCGUGAAGGAAUAAGGCCCUAUGGGUCGUAAACUUCUUUUGUAUCGGAGCAAUAAGGGCCACGAGUGGUCCGAUGAGAUUACGAUACGAAUAAGCAUCGGCUAACUCCGUGCCAGCAGCCGCGGUAAUACGGAGGAUGCAAGCGUUAUCCGGAUUUAUUGGGCGUAAAGCGCGCGCAGGCGGCUUCUUAAGUCCAUCUUAAAGGUGCGGGGCUUAACCCCGUGAUGGGAUGGAAACUGAGAGGCUGGAGUAUCGGAGAGGAAAGUGGAAUUCCUAGUGUAGCGGUGAAAUGCGUAGAGAUUAGGAAGAACACCGGUGGCGAAGGCGACUUUCUGGACGACAACUGACGCUGAGGCGCGAAAGCGUGGG
This 415-nucleotide ribosomal RNA is filed under the name uncultured Dialister sp. RNAcentral describes it as "bacterial SSU rRNA". It matches the Rfam family "Bacterial small subunit ribosomal RNA", at positions 354 to 765 of the family's 1533-position model. The record is from RNAcentral. Lineage: Bacteria; Bacillati; Bacillota; Negativicutes; Veillonellales; Veillonellaceae.